Cotesia glomerata is the source of this 221-nucleotide long non-coding RNA. RefSeq lists it as uncharacterized. Lineage: Eukaryota; Metazoa; Arthropoda; Insecta; Hymenoptera; Braconidae. The record is from RefSeq and is a predicted model, not a curated record. The transcript is spliced from 3 exons.
UUUAAAAAAAUUAAUUUAUUAAGGAAACACCACUGUGACGGUCGAAAAAAACGGUGAUUUUUGGGAAUUUUUUUGACAGGGAAAAUAAAGGAAUUUGGGAAUCGGAUUUUUUUUUAUUUUAUUGAGGGUACAUUGAAGAUUAUUACCUUAAAUUUUUAUUAAAAAAUAUUUAAUUAUUACAAAGUUAUUAACAGUCUCGUAGAGCACUAGAAAAAAUUUCC